Non-coding RNA from Schistosoma rodhaini, 48 nucleotides. NCBI's taxonomy places the organism in Eukaryota, Metazoa, Platyhelminthes, Trematoda, Strigeidida, Schistosomatidae. The record is from Rfam.
UCCCAGUUGACGAGUCCCAAAUAGGACGAAACGUGCCUUGUCCUGGAU